Molecule: ribosomal RNA, 601 nt
Filed under: Micromonospora sp. I08A-00413
Lineage: Bacteria; Bacillati; Actinomycetota; Actinomycetes; Micromonosporales; Micromonosporaceae
Description: bacterial SSU rRNA
Rfam family: Bacterial small subunit ribosomal RNA
Source: RNAcentral
CUUCGGGGUACUCGAGCGGCGAACGGGUGAGUAACACGUGAGCAACCUGCCCUAGGCUUUGGGAUAACCCUCGGAAACGGGGGCUAAUACCGAAUAUUCACUCAUGGGCGCAUGUUUGUGGGUGGAAAGUUUUUCGGCUUGGGAUGGGCUCGCGGCCUAUCAGCUUGUUGGUGGGGUAAUGGCCUACCAAGGCGACGACGGGUAGCCGGCCUGAGAGGGCGACCGGCCACACUGGGACUGAGACACGGCCCAGACUCCUACGGGAGGCAGCAGUGGGGAAUAUUGCACAAUGGGCGGAAGCCUGAUGCAGCGACGCCGCGUGAGGGAUGACGGCCUUCGGGUUGUAAACCUCUUUCAGCAGGGACGAAGCGCAAGUGACGGUACCUGCAGAAGAAGCGCCGGCCAACUACGUGCCAGCAGCCGCGGUAAGACGUAGGGCGCGAGCGUUGUCCGGAUUUAUUGGGCGUAAAGAGCUCGUAGGCGGCUUGUCGCGUCGACUGUGAAAACCCGUGGCUCAACUGCGGGCCUGCAGUCGAUACGGGCAGGCUAGAGUUCGGUAGGGGAGACUGGAAUUCCUGGUGUAGCGGUGAAAUGCGCAGAU